GGGCGUCGAGCGGCGGACGGGUGAGUAAUGCCUGGGAAAUUGCCCUGAUGUGGGGGAUAACCAUUGGAAACGAUGGCUAAUACCGCAUAAUGUCUACGGACCAAAGAGGGGGACCUUCGGGCCUCUCGCUUCAGGAUAUGCCCAGGUGGGAUUAGCUAGUUGGUGAGGUAAUGGCUCACCAAGGCGACGAUCCCUAGCUGGUCUGAGAGGAUGAUCAGCCACACUGGAACUGAGACACGGUCCAGACUCCUACGGGAGGCAGCAGUGGGGAAUAUUGCACAAUGGGCGCAAGCCUGAUGCAGCCAUGCCGCGUGUAUGAAGAAGGCCUUCGGGUUGUAAAGUACUUUCAGUCGUGAGGAAGGCGUUGAAGUUAAUAGCUUCAUCGUUUGACGUUAGCGACAGAAGAAGCACCGGCUAACUCCGUGCCAGCAGCCGCGGUAAUACGGAGGGUGCGAGCGUUAAUCGGAAUUACUGGGCGUAAAGCGCAUGCAGGUGGUUUG
RNAcentral lists this ribosomal RNA (500 nucleotides) under Vibrio sp. ZXM047. RNAcentral's name for it is "bacterial SSU rRNA". It matches the Rfam family "Bacterial small subunit ribosomal RNA", at positions 86 to 582 of the family's 1533-position model. The record is from RNAcentral. Lineage: Bacteria; Pseudomonadati; Pseudomonadota; Gammaproteobacteria; Vibrionales; Vibrionaceae.